This 327-nucleotide ribosomal RNA is filed under the name uncultured eukaryote. RNAcentral's name for it is "partial 18S ribosomal RNA". It matches the Rfam family "Eukaryotic small subunit ribosomal RNA", at positions 1470 to 1796 of the family's 1831-position model. The record is from RNAcentral.
CCCUUAGAUGUUCUGGGCCGCACGCGCGCUACACUGAUUCAUGCACUAAGUAUAUAACCUUGGUAGAAAUGCUUGGGUAAUCUUCGAAACUGAAUCGUGCUGGGGAUUGGAGCUUGUAAUUAUUCUCCAUGAACGAGGAAUUCCUAGUAAACGCAGAUCAUCAAUCUGCAUUGAUUACGUCCCUGCCCUUUGUACACACCGCCCGUCGCACCUACCGAUUGGAUGGUCCGGUGAAGCCUCGGGAUUGUGGUUCUUGCCGCUUUAUUGUGGCGUGACCGCGAGAACUUGUCUAAACCUUAUCAUCUAGAGGAAGGUGAAGUCGUAACA